This 77-nucleotide transfer RNA is filed under the name Planctomycetota bacterium. Its description in RNAcentral is "Planctomycetes bacterium (soil metagenome) tRNA-Arg". It matches the Rfam family "tRNA". From Rfam's summary of the family: Transfer RNA (tRNA) molecules are approximately 80 nucleotides in length. Their secondary structure includes four short double-helical elements and three loops (D, anti-codon, and T loops). The record is from RNAcentral. Lineage: Bacteria; Pseudomonadati; Planctomycetota.
GCACUCGUAGCUCAGCUGGAUAGAGCGCUGCCCUCCGAAGGCAGAGGUCGUAGGUUCGAAUCCUACCGAGUGCGCCA